Molecule: long non-coding RNA, 223 nt
Organism: Wasmannia auropunctata (little fire ant)
Lineage: Eukaryota; Metazoa; Arthropoda; Insecta; Hymenoptera; Formicidae
Exons: 3
Source: RefSeq, a predicted model, not a curated record
UUACUUAGCACCACUAUUUUAGUAGGUGGUGCGUUAGGCUGUUUACUGGAUAACAUCAUCCCAGGUAACGCAAAAGACCGUGGAUUGGAAGCUUGGGCGAAGGAAAUGGAGCUGCCCGAUCGCGCGACUGACAAGAAAACCGACGAAGUGUCUGAUGUUGAGUACACCUGGAAUACCUUCGAUUUACCGUUCGGAAUGAGUCUGUUGAGAAGGUGGAAAUGGA